CUGUGUGCAUCAGCACGUGCAUCUUUGUGAUUUUGAAGGAGAGUGUGCACCAGGACCACAGCACAAUCUAGAGAGUGCAUCCCUAUUUUUAAACUCUAUUUUUACCCAUUUCUACUUGGAUAGAAAUUGCAUUUUUUGUUUUUUAUUAAUACAAAGAAAAGUUUCAGUGAAGUCAUUUUCAGCUUCUCCAGGUCAAUAAGGAAAUAUGCUCAGUGGGGGUGGGGGCAGUGGGGGAUAUUCUAACACAGGUCUCGUCAGAGCCCACCGCAGGGUGGGAGAGUGGCCUCUCCUUGGGCUCCUGGCGUGGGGACGCCCGCAGGGCCCCAGUGCCCACCCUGCUCCCUGCAGGGGUCCCGAGGUGAACGCAGAGGGCCAAGGGAGCCAGGGACGAGGGCUUCUCCUGGGGGAGCGGUCACCCGCCCGGGGCACACGGGCAAGCUGCUGCUGCUGCGUUUGGGGGCCGCAGGCAGCCCAGUUAUCUGGGCUGGAUAGCCUGUCCCCUGCCCAGCGCGGCGGGGAACAGCUGGAGUGACAGCGAGACCCCUCCAGGCGUGCCUGGUCAGGGGGUCUGCACCAAGACAGACGCCAGCAGAGGUCCCGAAGACACACGAAGCGUCACCGUGAGCACCGACCAGGAGCCGCCCUGUGCACCUCCCCCCGCGGCCUCAGCCCGGCCCGGAGGUUUCGACUGGCCGGAACGGGAGGCCGUCCCUGCAGCUCAACUGGGAAUGACAGUGCGAAGGGAUCAGAGUCCCAGCCUCACGAUGGGGCGUUUAAGUUCGUGCUUCGGGCGCUGCUUAUGCUGUCUGCAGAGUGGUGGCGGGGUUGGAGAGGGGCGGGGGGGGGGGCGGGGGGAGGGGGUGGAGCAGAGGGCGAGGGAGGGGGGUGCCGGUGGGGGGCCAGGUGGGGGCUUCGAGGUGGGGAAGGGGCCCACGGGGCGGGGAGGGGUGGUGGGGCUGGGGGGGGCGGGGCCGGGGGCGAGGCGGGGCCGGGGCGGGGCCGGGGCGGGGCCGGGGGCCGGUGGGCGGCUCCUUGCCCCUGCAGGGAAGCCUGCAUCAGUGUGGGCCUUGGUGAUUGAUUUUUUUC
RNAcentral lists this long non-coding RNA (1086 nucleotides) under Bos indicus x Bos taurus (hybrid cattle). RNAcentral describes it as "lncRNA (ENSBIXG00000019855.1)". The record is from RNAcentral. Lineage: Eukaryota; Metazoa; Chordata; Mammalia; Artiodactyla; Bovidae.